RNAcentral lists this ribosomal RNA (1079 nucleotides) under Lingulaulax polyedra. RNAcentral's name for it is "Lingulodinium polyedra partial 23S ribosomal RNA". It matches the Rfam family "Bacterial large subunit ribosomal RNA", at positions 1677 to 2786 of the family's 2925-position model. The record is from RNAcentral. Lineage: Eukaryota; Dinophyceae; Gonyaulacales; Lingulodiniaceae.
CGGCACGAGGGGUUCAUAAUAAAUGGGUGUAAAUAAUUUGGCAAUUAAUUUGUUCAACCUAGGGAUAACAAUGGUGUUUAUCGGGCAACUGUAUAGCAAAUACACAGGGUUUAGUUAAAGAUGUUUAUAUUUUAGAGUUGAAAUGUGACCAGUAUUUAUGAAUUUCAACAAACGUUGGCCAUAACUAUAAUGGUCCCAAGGUAGCAAAAUUCCUUGUCGUUUAAGUAACGACCUGCAUGAAGCAUGCAAUGAUUUGAUAGCUGUUUUAUAUUAAUGUGUUGGUGAAAUAUUAGUUGGUGUCAAGAUACGUCUUUUAUUGUUACGGGACAAAAAGACCCUGUGAAGCUUUAUAGGAUACAAAUUAGUACGGAUUUUAUCUUUUCAAUACAGAUUUAUGGUAGAAACAGAUAUUUCAAGAACCAUUAGUUGGAAACUUAAAUAUCUUUUUCUUUUUGGAUUUCUGCAUUUGGGACAGGCAUCUGUGAUUGUGAUUUUAUGUGCCAAGUGGCAUCUGUGAUUGUGAUUUUAUGUGCCAAGUGGCAUCUGUGAUUGUGAUUUUGAUUUGUUGUUUUUGGGUCUGUUUAAUUGGGGCGACGACCUUAUUUACUGGAACCAAUGGUGUACAAAGUUCAGAAUAUGAAACUUUUUUAAAGGACUUGUAAGUGCAAAGAUACAAUUCAAGGUUUAAUGGCAGCUGUUUUGUUCAUUAUGUAAGCAGUGUUUUAGUGACCUUAUAAUUAAUUUAACAGAUAAAAGCUACUCAAAGGAUAACAGGCUUAAUAUGUUAGAUAGCUCACAUUAAAUAAAUGGUUUGGCACCUCGAUGUCGGCUUAUCUUAUCCAAAAUCUGUAGGCUUUGGUUUAUUGGUAGGAGUGCUCAUCCUAUAAUAAGGUACGUGAGCUGGGUUCAGAACGAUGUAAAUCAGUUUGGUCUAUAUCUUUAACAAUUAUAAAAAUGGGUAUGGAGUAGUUUGUUCAGUACGAAAGGACCAACAGACAAUAGCAGAAGAUGAAUUUUGUGUUGUAGUGGUAUUACUGUUCUAGGUCUAAGUAUUAGAUAAGUGAUUAUCGNAUCCUAAC